This 412-nucleotide ribosomal RNA is filed under the name uncultured bacterium. RNAcentral's name for it is "bacterial SSU rRNA". It matches the Rfam family "Bacterial small subunit ribosomal RNA", at positions 31 to 488 of the family's 1533-position model. The record is from RNAcentral.
GUACGCUGGCGGCACGCCUAACACAUGCAAGUCGAACGAAGUAGCAAUACUUAGUGGCAGACGGGUGAGUAACAUGUAGGUAUCUGCCCUUUGGCCUGGAAUAACACGAGGAAACUUGUGCUAAUACCGGAUAAGUCUUUACGGAGAAAGCUUUAUGCACCAUUGGAUGAGCCUGCACUUGAUUAGUUUGUUGGUGGGGUAAUGGCCUACCAAGACUGUGAUCAAUAGCUGAUUUGAGAGGAUGAUCAGCCACAUUGGGACUGAGACACGGCCCAAACUCCUACGGGAGGCAGCAGUGGGGAAUCUUGCACAAUGGAGGAAACUCUGAUGCAGCGAUGCCGCGUGAGUGAAGAAGGCCUUUGGGUUGUAAAGCUCUUUCGUCGGGGAAGAAAAUGACUGUACCCGAAUAAGA